RNAcentral lists this ribosomal RNA (214 nucleotides) under uncultured bacterium. Its description in RNAcentral is "partial 16S ribosomal RNA". It matches the Rfam family "Bacterial small subunit ribosomal RNA", at positions 107 to 334 of the family's 1533-position model. The record is from RNAcentral.
UGAGUAACACGUGAAUAAUCUACCUCCGACUGGGGAAGUAACUGAGAGAAAUCUUAGCUAAUACCGCAUAACACUUACGAGUCAAAGCAGUAAUGCGCUUGGAGAGGAGUUCGCGGCCGAUUAGUUAGUUGGCGGGGUAAUGGCCCACCAAGACGAUGAUCGGUAUCCGGCCUGAGAGGGCGCACGGACACACUGGAACUGAAACACGGUCCAG